CGUAGCGAUACGUUGAGCUAACCCAUACUAAUUACCCGUGAGGCUUAACCAUACAACACCCAAGAAGUGUU
Molecule: ribosomal RNA, 71 nt
Filed under: Aeromonas caviae
Lineage: Bacteria; Pseudomonadati; Pseudomonadota; Gammaproteobacteria; Aeromonadales; Aeromonadaceae
Description: partial 23S ribosomal RNA
Source: RNAcentral